This 121-nucleotide non-coding RNA is filed under the name Coscinodiscus wailesii. Lineage: Eukaryota; Bacillariophyta; Coscinodiscophyceae; Coscinodiscales; Coscinodiscaceae. The record is from RNAcentral.
AAUAUGCCGACGGCAGUGAGGCAUCAAGUUUCCCAGAACCCGUUAAAUGUCCAGAUCCCCAGCAGCAUAUCUCUCCCAUAUUGGUAUGUUCCGAUGAAAUAGAUGAUACGCCAUCCCUUUC